Molecule: long non-coding RNA, 232 nt
Filed under: Capsicum annuum
Lineage: Eukaryota; Viridiplantae; Streptophyta; Magnoliopsida; Solanales; Solanaceae
Description: long non-coding RNA (CANN_LNC016250)
Source: RNAcentral
UGUUCCAAAGUAAGUUAAGUCAUUAGUUGGGUAUAUUUUAGAUAAUUAAUUUAAUUGGUGAUUUAAUGUACUAAAGUUGUAAUUUACUUACAUAGGUGGUCAAUACAAGAACUAAUUUAAGUGGAAAUGGUUUGGUAAUAGAUGAUAAUAUUAAUAUCAUCAAAAAGUUGGGGCUAGGGGAAUAUGACAGUUAGCGUAUUUUGUUUCCCCAUUCAUGGCUUUAGAAGGGUCG